GCGGAUGUAGUUCAAUGGUAGAACAUCAGCUUCCCAAGCUGAAUACGGGAGUUCGAUUCUCCUCAUCCGCU
Molecule: transfer RNA, 71 nt
Filed under: Acidimicrobiia bacterium
Lineage: Bacteria; Bacillati; Actinomycetota; Acidimicrobiia
Also listed under: 1 other name
Description: tRNA-Gly
Rfam family: tRNA
About the family: Transfer RNA (tRNA) molecules are approximately 80 nucleotides in length. Their secondary structure includes four short double-helical elements and three loops (D, anti-codon, and T loops). Further hydrogen bonds mediate the characteristic L-shaped molecular structure. tRNAs have two regions of fundamental functional importance: the anti-codon, which is responsible for specific mRNA codon recognition, and the 3' end, to which the tRNAs corresponding amino acid is attached (by aminoacyl-tRNA synthetases). tRNAs cope with the degeneracy of the genetic code in two manners: having more than one tRNA (with a specific anti-codon) for a particular amino acid; and 'wobble' base-pairing, i.e. permitting non-standard base-pairing at the 3rd anti-codon position.
Source: RNAcentral